AAGAUGUAUUAGGUUUUGAUGGUGUUGAAUUUGACGGUAAAGACUUUUUAGAUGCAGCUAUUAAAAGAUCAGUGGUCUUGGAUGUUUUGCCGGUGGAAUUGCUGGUUAAAGAAGAUGUUACAUUAGCAUUAAUUGAAGUCCCAUUAUUAGAAGGGGUAGGAGUAUUCCGAGGACUCGUAGAAGCAGAAGAGGCAGGCGGCUCAAUGGAGGAAAAUGCUAAAGCCUUAGAAAGGCAAUUUUUGGAAGAUGCCUCACGAUCCUGCGUGAGGUAAGUAGAUGAUACUGAAGAUGUACGAACAGGAAUUGGCGAAGCCGUAGAAAGAGCGUUAGAAAAGCCAUGCUUUGAAGAAAAUGCAGGUCCCUGGGUGGACGCGGGAGUCACCAUGUUCAAAUUUCCAGACAAGUUGGAUUUUGUGGUCAAUGAAGGAAGUGAACUUGAAAGGGAAGGUGAGUCACCUUUAGGGGACGAAGGGAGAGAUUUGUCUAAAGAUAAGCCAGAGUUUGAAGGAGAGGACGUAAGGCUAGACGACAGAAGUGUAGAUAUUUCUUGAGAAGGAAGGUGAUGCAAAAGAGUCCGUAAGGUCGUCAGUCGAUCUUGGAGACUUAAGGAUUGAAACCAGCUUUCAAGAGUUUUCAGACGAGUCAAAAAGGAUAUACCAGGCUUAUCAGCUCCUAAAUACUCAUCGAAAUGUUCCGAUAUUGAAUCUUCAUUCUCUUCGGAUAGAAGCUUACCGGCAACUUCUUGAGCAUUUUUUAAGGUUU
Non-coding RNA from Schizosaccharomyces pombe (fission yeast), 762 nucleotides. Lineage: Eukaryota; Fungi; Ascomycota; Schizosaccharomycetes; Schizosaccharomycetales; Schizosaccharomycetaceae. The record is from the annotation of a GenBank genome assembly.